UAUAUACUCCCUCCUUACCGAAAUACUUGUCCUAGAGAUGAAUGUAUCUAGACUUAUUUUAGUUAUACAUACAUCCAUUAUAUCCAUUUCUAGGACAAGUAUUUUCGGACGGAGGAAGUAUAUG
Molecule: non-coding RNA, 124 nt
Organism: Hordeum vulgare subsp. vulgare (domesticated barley)
Lineage: Eukaryota; Viridiplantae; Streptophyta; Magnoliopsida; Poales; Poaceae
Source: Rfam